GUGCUUGCUUCGGCAGCACAUAUACUGAAAUUGGAUUGAAACAGAGAAGAUUAGUACGGCCCCUGCACAAGGAUGACACAUAAAUCCACGAAGCAUUUCAUAUUAAA
RNAcentral lists this small nuclear RNA (107 nucleotides) under Phocoena sinus (vaquita). The record is from RNAcentral. Lineage: Eukaryota; Metazoa; Chordata; Mammalia; Artiodactyla; Phocoenidae.